GAUGAACGCUGGCGGCGUGCCUAAUACAUGCAAGUCGAGCGAACGGACGAGAAGCUUGCUUUUCUGAUGUUAGCGGCGGACGGGUGAGUAACACGUGGAUAACCUACCUAUAAGACUGGGAUAACUUCGGGAAACCGGAGCUAAUACCGGAUAAUAUUUUGAACCGCAUGGUUCAAAAGUGAAAGACGGUCUUGCUGUCACUUAUAGAUGGAUCCGCGCUGCAUUAGCUAGUUGGUAAGGUAACGGCUUACCAAGGCAACGAUGCAUAGCCGACCUGAGAGGGUGAUCGGCCACACUGGAACUGAGACACGGUCCAGACUCCUACGGGAGGCAGCAGUAGGGAAUCUUCCGCAAUGGGCGAAAGCCUGACGGACCAACGCCGCGUGAGUGAUGAAGGUCUUCGGAUCGUAAAACUCUGUUAUUAGGGAAGAACAUAUGUGUAAGUAACUGUGCACAUCUUGACGGUACCUAAUCAGAAAGCCACGGCUAACUACGUGCCACCAGCCGCGGAAAUACGUAUGUGGCAAGCGUUAUCCGGAAUUAUUGAGCGUAAAGCGCGCGUAGGCGGUUUUUUAAGUCUGAUGUGAAAGCCCACGGCUCAACCGUGGAGGGUCAUUGGAAACUGGAAAACUUGAGUGCAGAAGAGGAAAGUGGAAUUCCAUGUGUAGCGGUGAAAUGCGCAGAGAUGUGGAGGAACACCAGUGGCGAAGGCGACUUUCUGGUCUGUAACUGACGCUGAUGUGCGAAAGCGUGGGGAUCAAACAGGAUUAGAUACCCUGGUAGUCCACGCCGUAAACGAUGAGUGCUAAGUGUUAGGGGGUUUCCGCCCCUUAGUGCUGCAGCUAACGCAUUAAGCACUCCGCCUGGGGAGUACGACCGCAAGGUUGAAACUCAAAGGAAUUGACGGGGGCCCGCACAAGCGGUGGAGCAUGUGGUUUAAUUCGAAGCAACGCGAAGAACCUUACCAAAUCUUGACAUCCUUUGACAACUCUAGAGAUAGAGCCUUCCCCUUCGGGGGACAAAGUGACAGGUGGUGCAUGGUUGUCGUCAGCUCGUGUCGUGAGAUGUUGGGUUAAGUCCCGCAACGAGCGCAACCCUUAAGCUUAGUUGCCAUCAUUAAGUUGGGCACUCUAAGUUGACUGCCGGUGACAAACCGGAGGAAGGUGGGGAUGACGUCAAAUCAUCAUGCCCCUUAUGAUUUGGGCUACACACGUGCUACAAUGGACAAUACAAAGGGCAGCGAAACCGCGAGGUCAAGCAAAUCCCAUAAAGUUGUUCUCAGUUCGGAUUGUAGUCUGCAACUCGACUACAUGAAGCUGGAAUCGCUAGUAAUCGUAGAUCAGCAUGCUACGGUGAAUACGUUCCCGGGUCU
Molecule: ribosomal RNA, 1372 nt
Filed under: uncultured bacterium
Lineage: Bacteria
Description: bacterial SSU rRNA
Rfam family: Bacterial small subunit ribosomal RNA
Source: RNAcentral